Macaca mulatta (Rhesus monkey) is the source of this 1572-nucleotide long non-coding RNA. The record is from Ensembl. NCBI's taxonomy places the organism in Eukaryota, Metazoa, Chordata, Mammalia, Primates, Cercopithecidae.
GAGAGGCCUGAAAGCGUCUGUACAAAUGGCUUCCGAGAAGCCCUGGGGAUAAAGGAGCUAGAGGCGGCAACACAUGGUUCCCAGAAGCUGAAUGUUGCGCAGACGACAGGAUAAAAUGACUUCACUCAUCCUGCUUCCACCCUCCGUGCGUGAGAAUUCGCUGCAGUGUAAUUCCAAAAUAGCAGUGACCAAAGCAGCUCUGGGAGCACAGCUGAGCACCUCAGAAGAUAAGUCCUGGGAUGAUUCUUGUCAUCUCCGUGAAAAGGAGAGGACGAAAAGGCAGAGGCUGCUGCCUGAGUGUCCCUUCACCUGGGCUGCGUAGCUUCGCCCAUGCUGACCAAAUUCCCCAUUUCAAGCUUCGGACUCGCGGACGCGCUAGUUAGGGUACAACUUGUUCAGACAGCUGUUUUCAUUCACAUCUCCAAAGGUCCUCUACCUUGGAAGAAGAAAGAAAGAGGGAAAGAGAAAUAAAAGGGAUUAAUUAAGAACACUAGGGCCAGGCACGGUGGCUCAUGCCUGUAAUCCUAGCACUUUGGGAGGCUGAGGCAGGUGGAUCACCUGAGGUCAGGAGUUGGAGACCAGCCUGGCCAACAUGGCAAAACCCCAUCUCUACUAAAAAUACAAAACUUAGUCAGGCAUGGUGGUGGGUACCUGUAAUCCCAGCUACUUUGGAGGCUGAGGUAGGAGGAUGACUUGAACCUGGGAGGCAGAGGCUGCAGUGAGCCGAGAUAAUGCUAUUGCACUCCAGCCUGGGUGACAAGAGUGAGACUCUGUCUCAAAAAUAAAAAAAAAACAAAAAACAAAAAACACAACUGAACCCACAGUUUCAUAAACGGUAAAUAAAAAUGCCACGCACCAUGAAUCAGAAAUAACGCUCUGGGUUGGCAUCUCUCCCCCACCAACCAGGGAACAGAUGCACCCCUUCACCAGGGGCAGCAGAGGGAGGUGGCUCUGUCUUCCUGACUUCAUCCUCCUGUUUCAUCAUCCAGGUUCUGUGUGGCCCAGCGGCCUGGGGCUCUUUUGCUUGUCCCCUCCCUGCCCUCCAUCAGGAGUGCCAAUGGGGCUCCCAAAUGCUCUUCCGCCAUCAUCUAUCCCCCUCCAUUAUGUCCUGAGUCCUCCACGUGCUCAUGUGUGAGCUUGAAGAUCAGACACCACAAGACACUCUUUCCCACUCUGCCUCAGCUGCCAAAUCCAGAGAAGGAAGGAUGGAUCAGACACCGAGACAGAAAAACAGAGUACCUGAGAAAGGCAGAGAGCCAUCCCCUGCCUCAGCCCCCAGAGGCCCCUGUGCCCCUCACUUCCCUCCCCUGAUUCCCACCAUCUGGGGUCCACCUCUGAAUUGACAAACUCUUGCUUGGUCACAUCUGGUUCAAGAGAAGGAAACAAGGAGUUUGGAAACCUAAACUAAUAGGCAGCACUUGGCACGCACAAUAGAAGCAGCUGCUGUUUAUAGCCCUUUUUAAAGGUGGCCUCAGGCCGGACCUCACACUUCCCUCCCUGUGGGGCAUUGUUUUACACAGAGCAUCUGCAACCUCACAGUCUUGCAACUCAAAAAAAAAAAGAAAAAAAAAA